Molecule: ribosomal RNA, 1449 nt
Filed under: Triticum aestivum (bread wheat)
Lineage: Eukaryota; Viridiplantae; Streptophyta; Magnoliopsida; Poales; Poaceae
Description: partial small subunit ribosomal RNA
Source: RNAcentral
AUGCUCGGCGCCAUCCUCCGGUUGCGGCUCCGCGUGCUCCGGCGCCACCUCCGUCUCCGCCUCCGCGGCCGCAGGCGGCGGUGGAGCUGUCGGUCCCGGAGAGGGGGCGGCGGCGAGGCGGGGGGUGAGGAGGAGGGGGCGCGCGAGCCGGUGCUGCUAGUGUCCGGGAUGGGCGGGUCGGUGCUGCACGCGCGGCGGCGGUCGGACACCAAGUUCGACCUCCGGGUCUGGGUGCGCAUCCUCCUCGCCGACCUCGAGUUCAAGAAGUACCUCUGGUCGCUCUACAACGCCCAGACCGGGUAUGUGGAAUCGUUGGACGACGACGUGGAGAUUGUGGUGCCGGACGACGAUCAUGGCCUCUUCGCCAUCGACGUUCUCGAUCCUUCCUGGUUUGUAGAGCUACUGCAUCUGACUAUGGUGUACCAUUUCCAUGAUAUGAUUGAUAUGCUCCUUGACUGUGGAUAUGAGAAAGGAACAACACUAUUUGGAUAUGGUUAUGAUUUUCGUCAAAGCAACAGGAUAGACAAAGCAAUGGCUGGUUUGAGAGCAAAACUUGAGACGGCUUACAAGGCCUCUGGUGGGAAAAAAGUAAACAUAAUCUCCCAUUCUAUGGGAGGAUUGCUAGUACGCUGUUUCAUGUCUAUGAAUCAUGAUAUAUUUUCAAAGUAUGUUAAUAAAUGGAUUUGCAUUGCUUGUCCAUUUCAAGGUGCCCCAGGAUGCAUCAAUGAUUCUCUUCUAACUGGACUGCAGUUUGUUUAUGGUUUUGAAAGUUUCUUUUUCGUUUCUCGAUGGGCGAUGCACCAACUGCUGGUUGAGUGCCCAUCAAUCUACGAAAUGCUGCCAAAUCCAAACUUUGAGUGGAAGGAAAAACCAUUCGUUCAGGUUUGGCGAAAGAAUCCUGAAAAGGAUGGAACAGUAGAGCUAGUUUUGUAUGAAGCAACUGAUUGUGUUUCUCUGUUUGAAGAAGCUUUACAAAAUAAUGAGCUCAAUUAUAAUGGGAAGACAAUUGCACUACCAUUCAAUAUGUCCAUCUACAAAUGGGCUACUGAGACUCGCUGUAUUCUUGAGAAUGCUGAACUACCAGAUACCGUGAGUUUUUAUAGUAUACAUGGGACAUCUUAUGAAACACCAUAUGAUGUUUGCUAUGGCUCUGAAAGCUCCCCAAUUGGAGAUCUCUCAGAAGUGUGCCGCACAGUGCCUACAUACACAUACGUGGAUGGAGAUUGCACUGUUCCUGUCGAAUCAGCCACGGCUGAUGGGUUCCCGGCGAAAGAAAGGGUAGGCGUCAGGGCCGACCACCGAGGGCUGCUGUGUGAUGAGAAUGUGUUCAAGCUUCUCAAGAAAUGGCUCGGCAUAAGCGAGAACACACGGGGUAGGGUGUCGAAAUCGCAAAUCAUGGACAUGCUCCCAGAAAGGACGUCUGAUCAGGUCACUCUCCGCAGAGACUAG